RNAcentral lists this small RNA (524 nucleotides) under Arabidopsis thaliana (thale cress). RNAcentral describes it as "ATSL270520". The record is from RNAcentral. Lineage: Eukaryota; Viridiplantae; Streptophyta; Magnoliopsida; Brassicales; Brassicaceae.
UAAUAUACAAAGCACACGAUUCAUACGGACUUUGGCUACAACAUUAAAGCUUGGAGAAGCACGAAGAAGCUUGGUUAGUGUUUUGGAGUCGAAUAUGACUUGAUGUCAUGUGUAUGAUUGAGUAUAAGAACUAAAAGAGCAACCGGAUCUAAAACCCUAAGUAGUGUUUCCUUGUUAGAAGAUACAAAUCCAAAGACUCAUACAGACUUCGGCUAUACCAUCAAAGCUUUGAGAAGCAAGAAGAAGCUUGGUUAGUGUUUUGGAGUCGAGUAUGACUUGAUGUCAUGUGUAUGAGGGGGUAUAAAAACUAGAACCGCAACGGAUCUUCAAAGCCUAAGUAUUGUAUCCUUGUUAGAAGAUACAAUGACAAACAGUCAUAUGAACUUCGGCUACACCAUCAAAGCUUUAAGAAGCAAGAAGAAGCUUGGUUAGUGUUUUGGAGUGAAAUAUGACUAGAUGUGAUGUGUAUGAGUGAGUAUAACAACUAGAACCGCAACAAGAUUUUAAAAGCCUAAGUAUGUAUC